UGCCUAACACAUGCAAGUCGAACGGUUCUUUCUUUUGGAAGNUUGCUUCCGAUCGAGAGAAUAGUGGCGAACGGGUGAGUAACACGUGGGUAACCUGNCCNNANGNGGGGGAUAACAUCCGGAAACGGGUGCUAAUACCGCAUAGUUUUUUUGAUCGCAUGAUCGAGAAAGGAAAGACGGCCUUUGUGCUGUCGCUUAUGGAUGGACCCGCGGCGUAUUAGUUAGUUGGUGAGGUAAUGGCUCACCAAGACGAUGAUACGUAGCCGACCUGAGAGGGUGAUCCGCCACAUUGGGACUGAGACACGGCCCAAACUCCUACGGGGGGCAGCAGUAGGGAAUCUUCCGCAAUGGACGAAAGUCUGACGGACCAACGCCGCGUGAGUGAAGAANGUUUUCGGAUCGUCAAACUCUGUUGUCANANAAGAACAAGUCNGAGAGUAACUGCNCCGGCCUGNACGGUAUCUGACCNNAAAGCC
RNAcentral lists this ribosomal RNA (476 nucleotides) under bacterium enrichment culture clone ZZ_E1b. Its description in RNAcentral is "partial 16S ribosomal RNA". It matches the Rfam family "Bacterial small subunit ribosomal RNA", at positions 45 to 492 of the family's 1533-position model. The record is from RNAcentral.